Molecule: ribosomal RNA, 510 nt
Filed under: uncultured bacterium
Lineage: Bacteria
Description: partial 16S ribosomal RNA
Rfam family: Bacterial small subunit ribosomal RNA
Source: RNAcentral
GACGAACGCUGGCGGCGUGCUUAACACAUGCAAGUCGAACGAAGAGCGAUGGAAGCUUGCUUCUAUCAAUCUUAGUGGCGAACGGGUGAGUAACGCGUAAUCAACCUGCCCUUCAGAGGGGGACAACAGUUGGAAACGACUGCUAAUACCGCAUACGAUCUAACCUCGGCAUCGAGGAAAGAUGAAAGGUGGCCUCUAUGUAUAAGCUAUCACUGAAGGAGGGGAUUGCGUCUGAUUAGCUAGUUGGAGGGGUAACGGCCCACCAAGGCGAUGAUCAGUAGCCGGUCUGAGAGGACGAACGGCCACAGUGGGACUGAGACACGGCCCAGACUCCUACGGGAGGCAGCAGUGGGGAAGCUUCCGCAAUGGACGAAAGUCUGACGGAGCAACGCCGCGUGAGUGAGGACGGCCUUCGGGUUGUAAAGCUCUGUUAAUCGGGACGAAAGGCCUUCUUGCGAAUAGGGAGAAGGAUUGACGGUACCGGAAGAGAAAGCCACGGCUAACUACGUG